UUCCGGUUGAUCCUGCCGGAGGCUACCGCUAUUGGAGUUCGAUUAAGCCAUGCGAGUCGAGAGUCUUAGGGACUCGGCGUACCGCUCAGUAACACGUGGGUAACCUGCCCUAUGCUGGGGGAUAACCUCGGGAAACUGAGAAUAAUACCCCAUAGUUCACCACGCCUGGAACGGUGGGUGGAUGAAAGCUCCGGCGGCAUAGGAUGGGCCUGCGGCGUAUCAGGUUGUAGGGGGUGUAAUGUACCCUCUAGCCAUCUACGCGUACGGGUGUUGGGAGACAUCGCCCGGAGAUGGAUUCUGAGACACGAAUCCAGACCCUACGGGGUGCAGCAGGCGCGAAAACUUGGCAAUGCGAGCAAUCGUGACCAGGGAACUCCAAGUGCAUCGGGUAAGACCGAUGCUUUUCUUGACUCUUCAAAGGUCUUGGAAUAAGGGGUGGGUAAGGACGGUGCCAGCCGCCGCGGUAAUACCGGCGCCUCAAGUGGUAGUCGCUUUUAUUGGGCCUAAAACGUCCGUAGCCGGUUUGGUACAUUCGUGGGUAAAUCAAGGCGCUCAACGUCUUGAAUUCUGCGAGCACGGCCAGACUUGGGACCGGGUGAGGUGUGGGGUACUCUCAGGGUAGGGGUAAAAUCCUGUCAUCCUGAGAGGACCACCUGUUGCGAAGGCGCCACACUAGAACGGAUCCGACGGUCAGGGACGAAGCCUAGGGGCACGAACCGGAUUAGAUACCCGGGUAGUCCUAGGUGUAAACGCUGUGGACUUGAUGUUGGGAGUGCUCCGAGCACCCUCAGUGUCGAAGCGAAGGUGAUAAGUCCACUGCCUGGGGAGUACGGUCGCAAGGCUGAAACUUAAAGGAAUUGGCGGGGGAGCACUGCAACCUGAGGAUUGUGCGGUUUAAUUGGAUUCAACGCCGG
Molecule: ribosomal RNA, 914 nt
Filed under: uncultured marine archaeon
Lineage: Archaea
Description: bacterial SSU rRNA
Rfam family: Archaeal small subunit ribosomal RNA
Source: RNAcentral